This 411-nucleotide ribosomal RNA is filed under the name Bufo japonicus (Japanese toad). RNAcentral describes it as "partial 12S ribosomal RNA". Lineage: Eukaryota; Metazoa; Chordata; Amphibia; Anura; Bufonidae. The record is from RNAcentral.
CAAAGGUUUGGUCCUGGCCUUGUGGUCAGUUAUUACUUACUAUACACAUGCAAGUAUCCGCCCCCCUGUGAAAACGCCCUUCAACCCCCAUUAGGGACAAGGAGCCGGUAUCAGGCGCAAAAAUCCGCCCAAGACACCUAGCUACGCCACACCCACAAGGGAAUUCAGCAGUGAUUAACAUUGAGCAUUAGCGCAAGCUUGACUCAGUUAAAGUAAACAGAGCCGGCUAAUCUGGUGCCAGCCGCCGCGGUUACACCACGUGGCUCAAAUUGACCCCCUCCGGCGUAAAGCGUGAUUAAAGUUUCCACUUACUAGAGUUAAACUAAGACUAAGCUGUGACACGCCUGUUAUCAAGAAACCCAAAAACGAAAGUUACUCUAACACAACCAACUUGAACUCACGACAGCUGAG